CGAAUGCUGACAUAAGUAACGAUAAAGCGGGUGAAAAGCCCGCUCGCCGGAAGACCAAGGGUUCCUGUCCAACGUUAAUCGGGGCAGGGUGAGUCGACCCCUAAGGCGAGGCCGAAAGGCGUAGUCGAUGGGAAACAGGUUAAUAUUCCUGUACUUGGUGUUACUGCGAAGGGGGGACGGAGAAGGCUAUGUUGGCCGGGCGACGGUUGUCCCGGUUUAAGCGUGUAGGCUGGUUUUCCAGGCAAAUCCGGAAAAUCAAGGCUGAGGCGUGAUGACGAGGCACUACGGUGCUGAAGCAACAAAUGCCCUGCUUCCAGGAAAAGCCUCUAAGCAUCAGGUAACAUCAAAUCGUACCCCAAACCGACACAGGUGGUCAGGUAGAGAAUACCAAGGCGCUUGAGAGAACUCGGGUGAAGGAACUAGGCAAAAUGGUGCCGUAACUUCGGGAGAAGGCACGCUGAUAUGUAGGUGAGGUCCCUCGCGGAUGGAGCUGAAAUCAGUCGAAGAUACCAGCUGGCUGCAACUGUUUAUUAAAAACACAGCACUGUGCAAACACGAAAGUGGACGUAUACGGUGUGACGCCUGCCCGGUGCCGGAAGGUUAAUUGAUGGGGUUAGCGCAAGCGAAGCUCUUGAUCGAAGCCCCGGUAAACGGCGGCCGUAACUAUAACGGUCCUAAGGUAGCGAAAUUCCUUGUCGGGUAAGUUCCGACCUGCACGAAUGGCGUAAUGAUGGCCAGGCUGUCUCCACCCGAGACUCAGUGAAAUUGAACUCGCUGUGAAGAUGCAGUGUACCCGCGGCAAGACGGAAAGACCCCGUGAACCUUUACUAUAGCUUGACACUGAACAUUGAGCCUUGAUGUGUAGGAUAGGUGGGAGGCUUAGAAGUGUGGACGCCAGUCUGCAUGGAGCCGACCUUGAAAUACCACCCUUUAAUGUUUGAUGUUCUAACGUUGACCCGUAAUCCGGGUUGCGGACAGUGUCUGGUGGGUAGUUUGACUGGGGCGGUCUCCUCCUAAAGAGUAACGGAGGAGCACGAAGGUUGGCUAAUCCUGGUCGGACAUCAGGAGGUUAGUGCAAUGGCAUAAGCCAGCUUGACUGCGAGCGUGACGGCGCGAGCAGGUGCGAAAGCAGGUCAUAGUGAUCCGGUGGUUCUGAAUGGAAGGGCCAUCGCUCAACGGAUAAAAGGUACUCCGGGGAUAACAGGCUGAUACCGCCCAAGAGUUCAUAUCGACGGCGGUGUUUGGCACCUCGAUGUCGGCUCAUCACAUCCUGGGGCUGAAGUAGGUCCCAAGGGUAUGGCUGUUCGCCAUUUAAAGUGGUACGCGAGCUGGGUUUAGAACGUCGUGAGACAGUUCGGUCCCUAUCUGCCGUGGGCGCUGGAGAACUGAGGGGGGCUGCUCCUAGUACGAGAGGACCGGAGUGGACGCAUCACUGGUGUUCGGGUUGUCAUGCCAAUGGCACUGCCCGGUAGCUAAAUGCGGAAGAGAUAAGUGCUGAAAGCAUCUAAGCACGAAACUUGCCCCGAGAUGAGUUCUCCCUGACUCCUUGAGAGUCCUGAAGGAACGUUGAAGACGACGACGUUGAUAGGCCGGGUGUGUAAGCGCAGCGAUGCGUUGAGCUAACCGGUACUAAUGAACCGUGAGGCUUAACCUU
This 1654-nucleotide ribosomal RNA is filed under the name Escherichia coli. RNAcentral describes it as "partial 23S ribosomal RNA". It matches the Rfam family "Bacterial large subunit ribosomal RNA", at positions 1291 to 2925 of the family's 2925-position model. The record is from RNAcentral. Lineage: Bacteria; Pseudomonadati; Pseudomonadota; Gammaproteobacteria; Enterobacterales; Enterobacteriaceae.